UCUUGGUCAAUUUAGAGGAAGUAAAAGUCGUAACAAGGUUUCCGUAGGUGAACCUGCGGAAGGAUCAUUAACGAAUAUCGUGCAAGGUUGAAGCUGGCCUCUCGGGGCAUGUGCUCGCCUUGUUCAUAUCCAUCUCACACCUGUGCACACUCGCGUGGGUCGGUCGGGUUCUUUUGACCCCUUCCGAGCCGCGUCUUCUCACAAACUCUUCGUAUGUCUUUAGAAUGGUAUCAAUGCUAUAAAACGCAUCUUAUACAACUUUCAACAAUGGAUCUCUCGGUUCUCGCAUCGAUGAAGAACGCAGCGAAAUGCGAUAAGUAAUGUGAAUUGCAGAAUUCAGUGAAUCAUCGAAUCUUUGAACGCACCUUGCGCCCUUUGGUAUUCCGAAGGGCACGCCUGUUUGAGUGUCGUGAAAUUCUCAACCCUGUGCUUUUCUUGUGAAAGCGCGUGGGCUUGGACUUGGAGGCUUUGCUGGUCCUCGCGGAUCGGCUCCUCUCAAAUGCAUUAGCGAGACCCUUGUGGUGCCGCCCCCGGUGUGAUAAUUGUCUACGCCGUGGUGGUACGCCACGAUUGUGGGGGACCUGCUUCCAACCGUCGAAAGACAAACUUUAUCGAAACUUGACCUCAAAUCAGGCGGGACUACCCGCUGAACUUAAGCAUAUCAAUAAGCGGAGGA
Molecule: ribosomal RNA, 676 nt
Filed under: Podoscypha multizonata
Lineage: Eukaryota; Fungi; Basidiomycota; Agaricomycetes; Polyporales; Podoscyphaceae
Description: eukaryotic LSU rRNA
Rfam family: 5.8S ribosomal RNA (bases 257-410)
Source: RNAcentral